RNAcentral lists this ribosomal RNA (447 nucleotides) under uncultured bacterium. RNAcentral describes it as "partial 16S ribosomal RNA". It matches the Rfam family "Bacterial small subunit ribosomal RNA", at positions 355 to 817 of the family's 1533-position model. The record is from RNAcentral.
UGGGGAAUAUUGGACAAUGGGGGCAACCCUGAUCCAGCAAUGCCGCGUGUGUGAAGAAGGUCUUCGGAUUGUAAAGCACUUUCGACGGGGACGAUGAUGACGGUACCCGUAGAAGAAGCCCCGGCUAACUUCGUGCCAGCAGCCGCGGUAAUACGAAGGGGGCUAGCGUUGCUCGGAAUGACUGGGCGUAAAGGGCGUGUAGGCGGUUUACACAGUCAGAUGUGAAAUCCCCGGGCUUAACCUGGGAGCUGCAUUUGAUACGUGUAGACUAGAGUGUGAGAGAGGGUUGUGGAAUUCCCAGUGUAGAGGUGAAAUUCGUAGAUAUUGGGAAGAACACCGGUGGCGAAGGCGGCAACCUGGCUCAUGACUGACGCUGAGGCGCGAAAGCGUGGGGAGCAAACAGGAUUAGGAUACCCUGGUAGUCCACGCUGUAAAACGAUGUGUGCU